GUAAUAGCUCACUGGUCGAGUCGGCCUGCGCGGAAGAUGUAACGGGGCUAAACCAUGCACCGAAGCUGCGGCAGCGAACGUAUCACCCAAGACAACUUUACGGAGUUGACGAUUGACGGAGCGAAGCGACGUCAAAGCGUUCAUUAAAGUCGAGUUGGCUUAGGGAUACGUUCGUUGGGUAGGGGAGCGUUCUGUAAGCCUGUGAAGGUGUGUCGUGAGGCAUGCUGGAGGUAUCAGAAGUGCGAAUGCU
RNAcentral lists this ribosomal RNA (250 nucleotides) under Salmonella enterica. Its description in RNAcentral is "partial 23S ribosomal RNA". It matches the Rfam family "Bacterial large subunit ribosomal RNA", at positions 1134 to 1298 of the family's 2925-position model. RNAcentral also lists the same sequence under 59 other names. The record is from RNAcentral. Lineage: Bacteria; Pseudomonadati; Pseudomonadota; Gammaproteobacteria; Enterobacterales; Enterobacteriaceae.